This 465-nucleotide ribosomal RNA is filed under the name uncultured bacterium. Its description in RNAcentral is "partial 16S ribosomal RNA". It matches the Rfam family "Bacterial small subunit ribosomal RNA", at positions 339 to 795 of the family's 1533-position model. The record is from RNAcentral.
CUACGGGGUGCAGCAGUGGGGAAUAUUGGACAAUGGGGGAAACCCUGAUCCAGCAAUGCCGCGUGUGUGAAGAAGGCCUGCGGGUUGUAAAGCACUUUCGGUUGGGAGGACUGCUUCUAGCACUAAUAUUGUUGGAAGUUGACGUUACCUUCAGAAGAAGCACCGGCUAACUCCGUGCCAGCAGCCGCGGUAAUACGGAGGGUGCAAGCGUUAAUCGGAAUUACUGGGCGUAAAGCGCGCGUAGGCGGCUAGAUCAGUCGGGUGUGAAAGCCCCGGGCUUAACCUGGGAACUGCAUCCGAUACUGUCAAGCUUGAGUACAGGAGAGGAGAGUGGAAUUCCACAUGUAGCGGUGAAAUGCGUAGAUAUGUGGAGGAACACCAAUGGCGAAGGCAGCUCUCUGGCCUGAUACUGACGCUGAGGUGCGAAAGCGUGGGGAACAAACAGGAUUGGAUACCCCCGUAGUC